ACCUGGCUAGCUCAGUCAGUAGAGCAUGUGACUCUUGAUCUUGGGGUUGUGAGUUCAAGUCCUAUGUUGGGUA
This 73-nucleotide transfer RNA is filed under the name Canis lupus familiaris (dog). It matches the Rfam family "tRNA". From Rfam's summary of the family: Transfer RNA (tRNA) molecules are approximately 80 nucleotides in length. Their secondary structure includes four short double-helical elements and three loops (D, anti-codon, and T loops). Further hydrogen bonds mediate the characteristic L-shaped molecular structure. tRNAs have two regions of fundamental functional importance: the anti-codon, which is responsible for specific mRNA codon recognition, and the 3' end, to which the tRNAs corresponding amino acid is attached (by aminoacyl-tRNA synthetases). tRNAs cope with the degeneracy of the genetic code in two manners: having more than one tRNA (with a specific anti-codon) for a particular amino acid; and 'wobble' base-pairing, i.e. permitting non-standard base-pairing at the 3rd anti-codon position. RNAcentral also lists the same sequence under 2 other names. The record is from Rfam by way of RNAcentral. Lineage: Eukaryota; Metazoa; Chordata; Mammalia; Carnivora; Canidae.